AUAUCAAUUCAGUCCUUUAUCAUAAAGUCCAGUGCUUCUUCUGGGAAGGUGUGAGAGGAUUACUACUGGUCAGGGUUCCUUUCCUCUUCUCCAUCAUAGUUUUUCUUUAAAGGGAAAAACUAUCCUUAGUGUUUUGUUGGCACAGGUACCAUUGUUUAAUCUGUGCUUCCCUUGAUUCUGCUUUCUGGUAGCAUCAAUCCAUAUUAACAUAGGUUCCUGGUCACCUACAGGAAUAAAAAGACCCACUGUAUGGAGAUAGUGCCCUUCAGACUUCUCUGAUGUCCCAAAUUCUGCUAGUCAUCACACCUCCUCUGCUGCCAGAUAUGUUUCUAUAUGGAGGUGUGUGGGUCUGUGUGGAGAGAAAGUGAGCAGCUGAGAAGAACCAAACUACUGGAAACUCAAGGACCUGCAAAGGAAAGCUAAUUGCUGAAAAAGGAGGAUCUAGAG
Molecule: long non-coding RNA, 447 nt
Filed under: Monodelphis domestica (gray short-tailed opossum)
Lineage: Eukaryota; Metazoa; Chordata; Mammalia; Didelphimorphia; Didelphidae
Description: lncRNA (ENSMODG00000038245.1)
Source: RNAcentral